GACGGAGGAGGCAAGCGUUGUUCGGAAUUACUGGGCUUAAAGCGCGUGUAGGCGGGUUGUUAAGUACCUUGUGAAAGCCCAUGGCUCAACCGUGGAAUUGCUUGGUAUACUGGCGAUCUUGAGACAGGUAGAGGCGAGCGGAACUCUUGGUGGAGCGGUGAAAUGCGUAGAUAUCAAGGGGAACGCCGGAAGCGAAAGCGGCUCGCUGGGCCUGUUCUGACGCUGAGACGCGAAAGCGUAGGUAGCAAACGGGAUUAGAUACCCCGGUAGUCUACGCCGUAAACGAUGCGCACUAGAUAUAGGGAUCUCUGACGAUUUCUGUGUCGUAGCAAAAGUGUUAAGUGCGCCGCCUGGGGAGUACGGCCGCAAGGCUAAA
This 376-nucleotide ribosomal RNA is filed under the name uncultured bacterium. RNAcentral's name for it is "bacterial SSU rRNA". It matches the Rfam family "Bacterial small subunit ribosomal RNA", at positions 524 to 898 of the family's 1533-position model. The record is from RNAcentral.